Molecule: long non-coding RNA, 540 nt
Filed under: Cavia porcellus (domestic guinea pig)
Lineage: Eukaryota; Metazoa; Chordata; Mammalia; Rodentia; Caviidae
Description: lncRNA (ENSCPOG00000033952.1)
Source: RNAcentral
GGAAAUGAUCCAGAAAUGGCCAAACCGGAGCUCGAGUCGUAUUUGUCACCUAGCAGGGGUUUGUUUUGUUCACUCAAGGUGGAAGGAGAAAACUCAGCCCCUUUCUUCCAUGGGGGCCCUUCUCUUGGUGCUUAAUUCUCAAGCUGAGGAAAGAAGCCCAUUUAUCUUUCGAAUCACAGGGAAGCAGACAGGAAUGAAGAAGCUUUUUUAACUGCGUCUCCCAAUACCCAGCCAUGAAAAUUCAACCAACAGUCACCCGGCCUCCCAGAGCCUCUCUGAAGCAGAGCUCCGCUGGAGCUGUUUGGUUCCAAAAGAGGCCACCACCACAGCUCCAGGCACACGCAGGAGGCGACCCAGCCGCGGAAUGGAUGGAGCAGGGCCCAGGCUGGCGAGGGUCGGCCCAGCCGGCUGUCUACUGUCACAGGCACCGUGCUACGAGUGGGAGACCCUGACCUAUACAUGGUUAACACACAAAUAAACUGGAGUAUUUUGUGACUUGAUCAUAUGUAAUUCAAAUUCCAGUUUUAAUAAAGUUUUAUC